GACAGAGGGUGCAAACGUUGUUCGGAAUUACUGGGCGUAAAGCGUGCGUAGGCGGUUAUAUAAGUUAGGAGUGAAAGCCCCGGGCUCAACCUGGGAAUUGCUCUUAAUACUGUAUAACUCGAAUUCGGGAGAGGAUAGCGGAAUUGUCAGUGUAGCAGUGAAAUGCGUAGAUAUUGACAGGAACACCAGUGGCGUAAGCGGCUAUCUGGACCGACAUUGACGCUGAGGCACGAAAGUGUGGGGAUCAAACAGG
This 253-nucleotide ribosomal RNA is filed under the name uncultured bacterium. Its description in RNAcentral is "partial 16S ribosomal RNA". It matches the Rfam family "Bacterial small subunit ribosomal RNA", at positions 524 to 776 of the family's 1533-position model. The record is from RNAcentral.